Peromyscus leucopus (white-footed mouse) is the source of this 376-nucleotide long non-coding RNA. RefSeq lists it as uncharacterized. The record is from RefSeq and is a predicted model, not a curated record. NCBI's taxonomy places the organism in Eukaryota, Metazoa, Chordata, Mammalia, Rodentia, Cricetidae. The transcript has 3 exons.
UGAACCUGAUCAUGUAUGGCUGAGAUGAGGAAUCUGGGGAAGCCCUCUGGACCAGACAGACCCUCCAUUAGGAGCGUUCCACACCCAUGCCAGCUGCUCCAGAGAGCAGUAAUUAAGUCCAUGAUGCCUGCUUUCAGCUCUUUUCAUACCUGCCUGCCAAGAGCAGAAUUGCUGUAGAAAGAGGAGCUCUUGUUUAUGCCAGGACUGGGAAGCGCCUCCUGGGGAUCAUGCAAAGACUUCAUUGAACCGAACUAUGGCGGCCACUUGGAUAUGUUUGAGCUCUUGUGCCACGGAGCCAGAAAGGAAGAAGCGGCAUAGAAGACGGACCACUAGAGAUGCGACGGUGAGCUGCCCAGAUCUGCCCCAACCCCUAGGA